AUGUCUUGUAAACCGCGCGACCACCCUCUUGUUGCAGGAAAGACAAAGCGCGUGCUGCGAGAGGACAGCCGAACAAAACAGCAUUCUCCGCAUCUAAACAAAGACUGCAGAGGGAAAAGAGUGCAGCCAGAGCGCGCCCAGAGAGGAGAGAGAGGAGAGGAUGUGCUGUCUGCCGGUGGAGCAGACUUUAGGCGCGCUCGGAGAUUCCGUUUGCGCGCACCGACUGCGCUGGAUCGGAGACCAGCUGGAGAAGAGAUGGGCUGCAAACGACAAAAGCUCCGACGGUGGAAGACGAAGCGGCGGGGAAAGCAUCAUCAAAAGCUUCCACAUAGUGUGCACAGUCAUUCAAGUAACGCUUCUGGUGUUUUUAGUCAAAAAGCGACACCUGUAGGUGAGAAGAGGCUCUGCUGAUCUACAGCGGCAACAGAUGAAUCUUCAGAUUCUCCUGGGAUGAUCCGCUCCAGAUUUACCAGAGAGGAGAAGGUGCCGGUCACGUCUGCACGCUGUAGAAACUUGCCAUGCAAACAGUGGGUCGAUGUUUUCUCAUCCAUGUAGGUCACAACAUUUGCAGUAGUGUUGUAACGGAAACACGCACACACCAGACGCAUCCGUGCUGUACAUUCCAAGCAUGCUGAUCUAUUUUCAUAACGACCAAUGCUUCAUCCCGAAGUCUUCUUGAUCACCGAAACACCACAAGCCGAUUUCAUUCGGUACACGUUUGCUUGGUUAGAAGUCUUAAGGUCAGUGCAGUCAAACCCAGCAGUGUGUCUCCUGGGAAACCAUUCAAAAUAAAAGGCUGAUGUCAUUGUCCCCUGGCGUUUGC
Molecule: long non-coding RNA, 823 nt
Organism: Cyprinus carpio (common carp)
Lineage: Eukaryota; Metazoa; Chordata; Actinopteri; Cypriniformes; Cyprinidae
Source: Ensembl